RNAcentral lists this ribosomal RNA (300 nucleotides) under uncultured Desulfurococcus sp. RNAcentral describes it as "bacterial SSU rRNA". It matches the Rfam family "Bacterial small subunit ribosomal RNA", at positions 496 to 795 of the family's 1533-position model. Lineage: Archaea; Thermoproteati; Thermoproteota; Thermoprotei; Desulfurococcales; Desulfurococcaceae. The record is from RNAcentral.
GCGCACCAUGAGCCAGUGGCCACAGUCAGACGUCGUGGGCGAGCGUUGUUGCGCUGGACUGGCGCGAAAGGGCGCCGAGGCGUCGAAGUAGGUCGUAGGGUAACGCCCUCGGCUCGACCGAGGAACUGUGCCCGAUACUGCUGUGCUUUGGGGCCGGAGGGGAUAGUGGAAUUCCCGGGGGAGCGGUGAAAUGCGUAGAGAUCGGGAAGAACGCCGGCGGCGAAAGCGACUCUCUGGUCGGUACCUGACGCUGAGGCGCGAAAGCUAGGGGAGCAAACGGGAUUAGAUACCCCAGUAGUC